Molecule: small RNA, 28 nt
Filed under: Bombyx mori (domestic silkworm)
Lineage: Eukaryota; Metazoa; Arthropoda; Insecta; Lepidoptera; Bombycidae
Description: ovarian small RNA-29477
Source: RNAcentral
UCUAGACGAGGGGCCUAUUCUAGGACGC